GCGAACUGGAUGUUGGGCACAACUUGGUGCCCAGUAUCGAAGCUAACGCGUUAAGUUCGCCGCCUGGGGAGUACGGUCGCAAGACUGAAACUCAAAGGAAUUGACGGGGGCCCGCACAAGCGGUGGAGUAUGUGGUUUAAUUCGAUGCAACGCGAAGAACCUUACCUGGUCUUGACAUCCACGGAACUUUCCAGAGAUGGAUUGGUGCCUUCGGGAACCGUGAGACAGGUGCUGCAUGGCUGUCGUCAGCUCGUGUCGUGAGAUGUUGGGUUAAGUCCCGCAACGAGCGCAACCCUCGUUCUAUGUUGCCAGCACGUGAUGGUGGGAACUCAUAGGAGACUGCCGGGGUCAACUCGGAGGAAGGUGGGGAUGACGUCAAAUCAUCAUGCCCUUUAUGUCUUGGGCUUCACGCAUGCUACAAUGGCUGGUACAGAGAGAGGCGAACCCGUGAGGGCAAGCGAAUCCCUUAAAGCCAGUCUCAGUUCGGAUCGUAGUCUGCAAUUCGACUACGUGAAGUCGGAGUCGCUAGUAAUCGCAGAUCAGCAACGCUGCGGUGAAUACGUUCCCGGGCCUUGUACACACCGCCCGUCAAGUCACGAAAGUCGGUAACACCCGAAGCCGGUGGCCUAACCCCUUGUGGGAGGGGGCCGUCUAAGGUGGGACUGGUGAUUGGGACU
Molecule: ribosomal RNA, 677 nt
Filed under: uncultured bacterium
Lineage: Bacteria
Description: bacterial SSU rRNA
Rfam family: Bacterial small subunit ribosomal RNA
Source: RNAcentral